GCGCGCAGRCGGUNUGAUAGGUCGGAUGUGAAAGCCCGGGGCUCAACCCCGGAACAUGCAUUCGAAACCCUUAGACUUGAGUAUGGGAGAGAGAGGUGCGGAAUUCCUGGUGUAGAGGUGAAAUUCGUAGAUAUCAGGAGGAACGCUCGCGGCGGAAGRCGGCUGCUCUGCCCAAUACUGACGCUCAUGGUCGAAAGCAUGGGUAGCGAACGGGAUUAGAUACCCCGGUAGUCCAUGCCGUAAACGAUGAAUGCUAGCUGAUGGAGGACUAUACCCAUUCAUUGGCAAAGUUAACGCAUUAA
Molecule: ribosomal RNA, 302 nt
Filed under: uncultured bacterium
Lineage: Bacteria
Description: bacterial SSU rRNA
Rfam family: Bacterial small subunit ribosomal RNA
Source: RNAcentral